CCUACGGGAGGCAGCAGUGAGGAAUAUUGGUCAAUGGCCGAGAGGCUGAACCAGCCAAGUCGCGUGAGUGAAGAAUGUCCUCUGGUUUGUAAACCUCUUUUGUCAGGGAGCAAAGUCACCCACGUGUGGGUGUUGGAGAGUACCUUAAGUAAAAGCAUCGGCUAACUCCGUGCCAGCGGCCGCGGUAAUACGGAGGAUGCGAGGUUUAUCCGGAUUUAUUGGGUUUAAAGGGUGCGUCGUGGGGUUAUCAAGUCAGCGGUAAAAUCGUGGGGCUCAACUCCAUCCAGCCGUGGAAACUGAUGAUCUGGAGUGGGCGAGAGGAAGGUGGAAUGCGGGGUGUAGCGGUGAAAUGCAUAGAUA
Molecule: ribosomal RNA, 360 nt
Filed under: uncultured bacterium
Lineage: Bacteria
Description: partial 16S ribosomal RNA
Rfam family: Bacterial small subunit ribosomal RNA
Source: RNAcentral